UAUACUCUCUAAUACAAGCAUAUCUGUCUUUCUUCAAAGCAUUUAUAUCAGUUAUCAAUCUUGAUUAAUUUCUUAUUUAUGUCAAUCUUCAUCUUUAUAAUAUAAGCUCCAUGAAAGGGGCCUACCUGUUUUGCUCACCAAAUUAUCCAUACUGUCUACUUAGCACAGUGCCUGGCAUAUAAUAAAUAUUUGUUGAAUAAAUGAAUAUAUCACUCAGCCUAGGAAUCUUGGGUAGCAAGAAAUAUAGUCCAACUUUUAUCAAUAGUUCUUAAAUUUGGAAAAGUAUAUGUGUGCACAUGCACGUGUGUGUGUGUGUGUGUGUGUGUGUGUGUGUGUGUAUCUGUCCUGACAUUUACUAUUCAGGGUCAGAUAUGCUUACCAUCCUGCAGUGAACAGAGCAGUGUUGUACGAUGAAGAAUUACCUGACACCACACACAAAUAGUUCCCCUUUCUUACUUUGAGAAAUCAUAAACCAAUGGUUUGACUGAACUUCUAAGCAGGCCUUCUGUAUGAGAACAAGCAAAUAUUAAAAUCUGAUGGAGAUAAACGGAAGUGUUGUGGCAUUGAGUGUCUUCACCCCAUCUUCUCCAUACUGUAGAGAGAAUGCCAGAUUCCUGGGUCUCCACUUAAGAGCAUGAAUAUAGUAGGAAGUUGUGGCUGUUUGGCCUUGCAGACUAUGCAGACCUGUGUACCUCCAGCAACAGAAGAUGUACAGAAGACAGAUGACAAGUUCAAGAGCAGGAGAAAGUGAGGUUUGAUUUGAAUGUCUCUCUGGGAUGGAUACUUGUUUAAAAAUAUUCAUGUGUUUGUGGGGCGCCUGGGUGGCGCAGUCGGUUAAGCGUCCGACUUCAGCCAGGUCACGAUCUCGCGGUCCGUGAGUUCGAGCCCCGCGUCAGGCUCUGGGCUGAUGGCUCGGAGCCUGGAGCCUGUUUCCGAUUCUGUGUCUCCCUCUCUCUCUGCCCCUCCCCUGUUCAUGCUCUGUCUCUCUCUGUCCCAAAAAUAAAUAAAAAAUGUUGAAAAAAAUUAAAAAAAAAAAAAUUCAUGUGUUUGUAUAGGUGGAAUUGAGAGAGCUCUUUCAGAAUCUAGCAACCAACCCAUUUCCUUGUUAUUCUUUCAAAGCUGCAGUGUGAGAUUUAAAAAUUUUAUAUGAUCUUUUCUGUAAAGCAGAACCUUUAAAAUUAUAUCACGUUUGAUUUUUUGCAAUAAAUUGCAAACACUAGAGGCGCCUAGGUGGCUCAGUCAGUUGAGC
RNAcentral lists this long non-coding RNA (1249 nucleotides) under Lynx canadensis (Canada lynx). RNAcentral describes it as "lncRNA (ENSLCNG00005007451.1)". Lineage: Eukaryota; Metazoa; Chordata; Mammalia; Carnivora; Felidae. The record is from RNAcentral.